CCUACGGGUGGCAGCAGUGGGGAAUCUUCCGCAAUGGGCGCAAGCCUGACGGAGCAACGCCGCGUGAGUGAAGAAGGUCUUCGGAUCGUAAAGCUCUGUUGACGGGGACGAACGUGCGGAGUGCGAAUAGCGCUUUGUAAUGACGGUACCUGUCGAGGAAGCCACGGCUAACUACGUGCCAGCAGCCGCGGUAAUACGUAGGUGGCGAGCGUUGUCCGGAAUCAUUGGGCGUAAAGGGAGCGCAGGCGGGCCGGUAAGUCUUACUUAAAAGUGCGGGGCUCAACCCCGUGAUGGGAGAGAAACUAUCGGUCUUGAGUACAGGAGAGGAAAGCGGAAUUCCCAGUGUAGCGGUGAAAUGCGUAGAUAUUGGGAAGAACACCAGUGGCGAAGGCGGCUUUCUGGACUGCAACUGACGCUGAGGCUCGAAAGCCAGGGGAGCGAACGGGAUUAGAUACCCCAGUAGUC
This 465-nucleotide ribosomal RNA is filed under the name uncultured Selenomonas sp. RNAcentral describes it as "bacterial SSU rRNA". It matches the Rfam family "Bacterial small subunit ribosomal RNA", at positions 338 to 795 of the family's 1533-position model. Lineage: Bacteria; Bacillati; Bacillota; Negativicutes; Selenomonadales; Selenomonadaceae. The record is from RNAcentral.